This is a long non-coding RNA of Pygocentrus nattereri (red-bellied piranha), 1002 nucleotides long. Lineage: Eukaryota; Metazoa; Chordata; Actinopteri; Characiformes; Serrasalmidae. The record is from Ensembl.
CCCAAGUGGACUUCUGGAUCAGUGUGCUUUUGCAGAGCGGUCUUCCAGCCAGAGCCGUGCGCUAGCUAAAGUAAUCAAAAAGCCGAAAAAACGGAGAGAGGGAGAGAGAGAGAGAGAGAGAGAGAGAGAGAGAGAGAGAGAGAGAGAGAGAGGGAUAAAAUGGUUAAACGGCGGGUCGGUGCCGUUAUGACAGACAAAACUGCACCGUAGAGGCGUAAUGGAAAAUCCUGACUCGUGCUCGGCGCGGAAUACAUAAAGGCGAGGAGUGAAAGCGCUUUCAAUAACGGCUCCCUGCCUUGAAUUAAUCACUCACUGUUUAAUGGAUCUUUGAGGUUCGCGCUUGACGCAGUGAGGAACUGCAGCUCUUUGUAUUCUGAGGCAGAGAGAGAGAGAGAGAGAGAGGGAGAGAGAGAGAGAGAGAGAGAGAGAGAGAGACCCAGGAUUGUGAGCCCAACUGUCUUCUUCUGCCUCCUUGAAAUCGUCUUGGGGUUCAUGGUGACAUAGGGACCCCAGUUUCGGCGCCGGUGAGACUCCUGCUCCGCUUCGUCGGGAAGAGAGGAAGAGGGGCCAGCUGCUGAUGAAGGAGCUCAGAGAUGCGUGUUCUCGCUGAAGAGUUUAACCUGAGCAGCCGGGGGUGUGCCUCUGGAUCCAUAAAUGAGACUAAAGCGAUGGGAGAAAGGAAAAUACAAGGGGCUGAGGGCCAUCUACAACGUUGUCUCCAGAGGAAAUAAGCACAAGCUAGUCUGAAGUGGUGAAACGCUACAACUCCAACGCUCCUCUACAGGAAACCCCUCCGUAAGUGCAUAUGCUGUGGCCGGAAUGGAAUGAUCACUGGUUGGAGUGAAAUCUCCAGCUAACGUGAAAAAAAGAUCAACAAUUUUUUGGAUUCGACUCUGGACAUCUUUUGCACCUUGUCUACAAAACAGAAACAGCUGACUAUCCUGCCAGAAUACUGUGAGGCUCAGUCCAGCCUAGUAGAAACUAAAAGUGACAUCCCAAGCU